GUGGGGAAUAUUGCACAAUGGGGGAAACCCUGAUGCAGCGACGCCGCGUGGAGGAUGAAGGUCUUCGGGUUGUAAACUCCUUUUCUUGGGAAAGAUGAUGACGGUACCCAAGGAAUAAGCCACGGCUAACUCUGUGCCAGCAGCCGCGGUAAGACAGAGGUGGCAAGCGUUGUUCGGAAUCACUGGGCUUAAAGGGCGAGUAGGCGGUGGAGCAAGUCUGAGGUGGAAUCCUAUGGCUUAACCAUAGAACUGCCUUAGAAACUGUUUUACUUGAGUCAGUGAGGGGAGGGCGGAAUUCCUGGUGUAGCGGUGAAAUGCGUAGAUAUCAGGAGGAAGGCCUGUGGCGAAGGCGGCCCUCUGGCACUGUACUGACGCUGAGGCGCGAAAGCGUGGGGAGCAAACAGGAUUAGAAACCCUAGUAGUCC
RNAcentral lists this ribosomal RNA (425 nucleotides) under uncultured bacterium. RNAcentral's name for it is "bacterial SSU rRNA". It matches the Rfam family "Bacterial small subunit ribosomal RNA", at positions 354 to 796 of the family's 1533-position model. The record is from RNAcentral.